This 497-nucleotide ribosomal RNA is filed under the name uncultured bacterium. RNAcentral describes it as "partial 16S ribosomal RNA". It matches the Rfam family "Bacterial small subunit ribosomal RNA", at positions 28 to 507 of the family's 1533-position model. The record is from RNAcentral.
GAUGAACGCUGGCGGCGUGCCUAAUACAUGCAAGUCGAGCGAUCAGACGAGGUGCUUGUUCCUCUGACGUUAGCGGCGGACGGGUGAGUAACACGUGGAUAACCUACCUAUAAGACUGGGAUAACUUCGGGAAACCGGUGCUAAUACCGGAUAACAUCUUUAACCACAUGGUUCAACAGUGAAAGACGGUCUUGCUUUCCCCUAUAGAUGGCUCCGCGCCGCAUUAGCUAGUGGGUAAGGUAACGGCUUACCAAGGCAACGAUGCGUAGCCGACUGGAGAGGGGGAUCGCCAACACUGGAACGGGGACACGGCCCAGACUCCUACGGGGGGCAGCAGUAGGGAAUCUUCCGAAAGGAGCGAAGGCCUGACGGGGCAACGCCGCGGGGGUGAGGAAGGUCUUGGGAUCGAAAAACUCGGUUAUUAGGGAAGAAGAAAUGGGGAAGUAACAAUGCACGACUUGACGGUACCUAAUCAGAAAGCCACGGCUAACUACGUG